CAAGUCGCACGAGAAAGUCCUUCGGGAUGAGUAGAGUGGCGCACGGGUGAGUAAUACAUGGGAACGUGCCUCUGAAUGGGGGAUAACUACGGGAAACUGUAGCUAAUACCGCAUAGAAACGGGAGUUUAAAGCUGGCCUCUAUUUAUAAGCUAGUGUUCAGAGAUCGGCCCAUGUCCCAUUGGCUAGUUGGCGGGGUAAAAGCCCACCAAGGCGACGAUGGGUAGCUGGUCUGAGAGGACGAUCAGCCACACUGGAACUGAGACACGGUCCAGACUCCUACGGGAGGCAGCAGUGGGGAAUUUUGCACAAUGGGGGAAACCCUGAUGCAGCAACGCCGCGUGAGUGAAGAAGGCCUUUGGGUUGUAAAGCUCUUUCGGCUGAGAAGAAGGGCUGUAUGGCUAAUAUCCAUAUAGUUUGACGGUAUCAGAAGAAGAAGCACCUGCUAACUUCGUGCCAGCAGCAGCGGUAAUACGAAGGGUGCAAGCGUUGUUCGGAAUUACUGGGCGUAAAGGGCGCGUAGGCGGGUUUGUAAGUCGAAUGUGAAAUCCCCGGGCUUAACCCGGGACGUGCAUUCGAUACUGCUGAUCUUGAAUGCUUGAGAGGGUGGUGGAAUUCCUAGUGUAGAAGUGAAAUUCGUAGAUAUUAGGAGGAACACCGGAGGCGAAGGCGGCCACCUGGCAAGACAUUGACGCUAAGGCGCGAAAGUGCGGGGAGCAAACAGGAUUAGAUACCCUGGUAGUCCGCACCAUAAACGAUGGAUACUAGAUGUUUGGAGAAUUAACCCUCUGAGUAUCAAAGUUCACACAUUAAGUAUCCCGCCUGGGGAGUACGGCCGCAAGGCUGAAACUCAAAGGAAUUGACGG
Molecule: ribosomal RNA, 864 nt
Filed under: uncultured bacterium
Lineage: Bacteria
Description: bacterial SSU rRNA
Rfam family: Bacterial small subunit ribosomal RNA
Source: RNAcentral